UUGCUGUUUGUAGUAGCCGCGAAUGGCUGCCCUGCCACACCACGCUGCCUUAGAGCCAACUGAGUAUAGAUUGAAACCUCCAAAAGGGUGUCAUAUAUAAUCUCUGAAUCACCACUUACCAAAUGUUUUUAAGCAAUAUGAUUAUACCAUCAUAAAACAUGAUGUCAACCAGAAACUGAUCAAUGGACUACAAUGGAAGAACAGUCUAUGCUGUUUUAUGGAAAUGUUGAAAGUGGACUCAUCAUUCAAAAUGAGACAUGUGCCAAAUGAAUGAAAGAACCAGUUGCGGAGAAGAAACAGUAGAGUCUGGGCAGGUUGCCCAAAGGGACACUUGGAUUAACCUUCACAUUGGAAUUGAAAAUGUGAAUAAUUUUGUCUUCAUUUUUUCCAGAUUCCAAAGUGAACACAGUCUUUGCACUGUGAUACUUGUUUAUUUCUUUUAACUAAAGCAAAGAGAAGGAAAGAGGAAAUGAGAAAUUGAGAAAGCCUAAAGGUUGAGUCCAAGGGCUGCUACUUACUUGUUUUAUAGCUUCAUGAAUAUAUUGAAAACAAUUUAAUUUUGUUUUCUGAUCUAUGAAUUAGAUAUUAGAAUAAUAAUUGCAUGACAUAGUAUUACUAGGAUUAAAUAAGAAAUCUACAUGUAAAUAUUAUAUACCUAUAUAUAGGUAUUCUUUAAAAAAUUACUUAUGUCAUUGUUAUUCAGAUAUAUUAAGCACAUACUGUAUUGAAUUUCAUUGUAUGUGCUGAGUGACCACUACACAAAAUCAAAAGAUUAAAUUUGAACUUUGGAUUUAUAAAGCUUCUUUUGUAUUUUAAGUAAUACCGACGUACAAGUAUUAUUAUGCCAUAGUACAAAAUUAAUAUCACACUGGAUUUUAAAAAUUGCAAGUAUGGUUAAAUUUAUCAUAUGUUGUAAACCUUUAGAAGCUUAGAAAAGAAAAUAAGAUCAAAGGACUUAGUGCAGUUUACUUAAGAGAAUAGCUUUUCUUAAAUCAUUAAGAUGAUGGUGUAUUCCAUUUGCCCCUUCAAGCCUACUUCAAUUGUCUGUAUUAGCUACUUGCCUCUGAUGACUUUGGCUUGAUACAGUCGAUGAGCAAAUAGGAUUAUCAACAGGAUAUCAAACAAAUAAAAAAGGAGGAGAAAUUCUAUUUCUGGUCAAGGUAAAAUAACAAAUCAUUGUCUUCCCUGAACAAAAUUUAGAAACUUAUUCAUAUAUAUAUGAAUAUAUAAAUAUAAUAUAUUCAUAUAUAUAUGAACUGAAGCUCUGGAUAUCAUCAACUAAGUAUAGAUCAGUAAAUCUAUACUAAGAAAACUAUUCCAGCUCUGGAGGAAAAACAAUGGAAAUUAGCAAACAAAA
Cavia porcellus (domestic guinea pig) is the source of this 1357-nucleotide long non-coding RNA. RefSeq lists it as uncharacterized. The record is from RefSeq and is a predicted model, not a curated record. The transcript is spliced from 3 exons. NCBI's taxonomy places the organism in Eukaryota, Metazoa, Chordata, Mammalia, Rodentia, Caviidae.